RNAcentral lists this ribosomal RNA (468 nucleotides) under uncultured bacterium. RNAcentral describes it as "partial 16S ribosomal RNA". It matches the Rfam family "Bacterial small subunit ribosomal RNA", at positions 28 to 507 of the family's 1533-position model. The record is from RNAcentral.
GACGAACGCUGGCGGCGUGCUUAACACAUGCAAGUCGAACGGAAAGGCCCUGCUUUUGUGGGGUGCUCGAGUGGCGAACGGGUGAGUAACACGUGAGUAACCUGCCCUUGACUUUGGGAUAACUUCAGGAAACUGGGGCUAAUACCGGAUAGGAGCUCCUGCUGCAUGGUGGGGGUUGGAAAGUUUCGGCGGUUGGGGAUGGACUCGCGGCUUAUCAGCUUGUUGGUGGGGUAGUGGCUUACCAAGGCUUUGACGGGUAGCCGGCCUGAGAGGGUGACCGGCCACAUUGGGACUGAGAUACGGCCCAGACUCGUACGGGAGGCAGCAGUGGGGAAUAUUGCACAAUGGGCGGAAGCCUGAUGCAGCAACGCCGCGUGCGGGAUGACGACCUUCGGGUUGUAAACCGCUUUCGCCUGUGACGAAGCGUGAGUGACGGUAAUGGGUAAAGAAGCACCGGCUAACUACGUG